CCUACGGGUGGCAGCAGUGGGGAAUAUUGCACAAUGGGGGAAACCCUGAUGCAGCGACGCCGCGUGAGUGAAGAAGUAAUUCGUUACGUAAAGCUCUAUCAGCAGGGAAGAAAUACUGACCUUACGGCCAGCAGACGGUAUCUGAGUAAGAAGCCCCGGCUAACUACGUGCCAGCAGCCGCGGUAAUAGGUAGGGGGCAAGCGUUAUCCGGAUUUACUGGGGGUAAAGGGGGCGUAGACGGUGCGCCAAGGCUGGAGUGAAAAGCCGCGGCUUAACUGCGGGACUGCUGUGGAAACUGGCGAACUAGAGUGCGGGAGGGGUAAGCGGAAUUCCUGGUGUAGCGGUGAAAUGCGUAGAUAUUAGGAGGAACACCGGUGGCGAAGGCAGCUUACUGGACCGUAACUGACGUUGAGGCUCGAAAGCGUGGGGAGCGAACAGGAUUAGAUACCCCAGUAGUC
This 458-nucleotide ribosomal RNA is filed under the name uncultured bacterium. Its description in RNAcentral is "partial 16S ribosomal RNA". It matches the Rfam family "Bacterial small subunit ribosomal RNA", at positions 338 to 795 of the family's 1533-position model. The record is from RNAcentral.